Molecule: transfer RNA, 87 nt
Filed under: Chloroflexota bacterium
Lineage: Bacteria; Bacillati; Chloroflexota
Description: Chloroflexi bacterium (hydrothermal vent metagenome) tRNA-Ser
Rfam family: tRNA
About the family: Transfer RNA (tRNA) molecules are approximately 80 nucleotides in length.
Source: RNAcentral
GGAGGGAUGGCCGAGUGGACGAAGGCGGCGGUCUUGAAAACCGCUGUGGGCUCUGUCCCACCGGGGGUUCGAAUCCCUCUCCCUCCG